This is a long non-coding RNA of Oryzias melastigma (Indian medaka), 1900 nucleotides long. RefSeq lists it as uncharacterized. The record is from RefSeq and is a predicted model, not a curated record. The transcript is spliced from 5 exons. NCBI's taxonomy places the organism in Eukaryota, Metazoa, Chordata, Actinopteri, Beloniformes, Adrianichthyidae.
CUUUUUGUUGUUGUCAGGCACCCCUUAGCUCAGAUGAACUCUCUCCUGAAGACGUGCAGAUACUGUCCUACAUCACUUUGAUCGGCUGUGGGAUUUCUCUCACUGCUCUGGCCUUCACUGUUGUUCUUUUCUUCACACACAGUAAAAUCCGAGCUGAUGAUUCCAAAAAGAUCCAUAUCAACCUUGUGUUUGCCUUGAUCUUCCUCAAUCUACAUCUUCUACCCAAUGAGAAGGUCGCCACACUGUCCUUGCCGGGGCUUUGUCUUUACAUGGCUCUCGCUCUCCACUACUCUCUGUUGGCCACCUUCAGCUGGAUGGCUUUGGAGGGGUUCCACCUCUACCUCCUCAUAGUCAAAGUCUUCAACAUCCAUACCAAUAGAUACCUGCUGAAGAUCAGUGUGAUAGGGUGGGGUGAGUGGGUUUAUGUAGUUUAAGAAACUGAACCUGAAGAAGAGUGACUUCAUCUGUUUUGUUUUUUUGUUUCAGGAGUUCCUGCAGUCAUUGUUUCAAUUGUGGUGUCUAUAAAGAAGGAGUAUUACGGACUCUCUACUUUGAACAACAGUAGUUUGUGCUACAUAACUGACAGGACAGUGGAGCUGGUGACCACGACGGGACUGUUCGCCCUGUUGUUCGUCUUUAACACAGUCAUGUUCUCUUUAACAGUGAGAUAUCUAAUAACUAGCCGCCGUCUCAACAAUUUUGGACCAAUGAAAAAGAACAGAGCGAAGGACAUGGGCCUGCUGCUGUUCCUCAUCUCUCUGCUUGGCAUUGCCUGGGGCUUCUACCUCUUCUCAAUUGGGCCCCUGGUCACUCCUGCUCUCUACAUCUUCUGUAUUCUCAACUCUCUGCAAGGAUUCUUCAUAUUUCUCUACUUCGUGUUGACUCUCAGGAAGAUCAAAGAUUCAACGUCAUCAUCUGGAAAUAAAACUAACUCCUCGAGCGGUUGAAUUAUUAAAAGUUAGAGCUUGCUGCUCAAAUAAAACUGCAUUAUAUUUAAUGCUUUUUGUUUUGCUUUAGUAAAAGUCAUAUUUUUAAGUCCCCCCAAGUCAAGGAAGCCAUAACAGAAGCUAUUUUCUGAUGUCACCUUAUGUUUUUUAUUACAUUUUUAGUAAUGAGAGUCUAUUUAAUUUACAUAUGUGGGUUUACAAGUUUUAUUAUUGUAUUAAAGGUUUGACACAAAGAAGGAAGAAGUAGAUCUGUACAUGUGUGGCAGAAAAACAGGUUGAAGGAUGUGCUGCAGGUUUAGAUGCUUAAUGACAAAGAUGGAAAUGUGUGAAUUUGUCUUUUAUUUUUUUAGGUUACCAGUUUUAUUGAUUUAAACAAUUUUAUAUCUGUUUCCAUUAUUUCCUCUCUUUGAUUUAAGUCUUUGGAUUGUAUUUGCUUAUUAUCUUGUACCAAGUUUUUGGGUGUCCUUUGUUUUAAGUUUGCUCGUAUUUGAAUUUUGUCUUUAAUCUUUUUUUUUAUGUUUAUGUUUCUUUUUCAAGGGAAAACUUGCAUUUUAGGGGGUGCUCAAAACUGAUUUGGUAUUUUCAAAACUAUUUUUAAACAUUCUUUUCUCUUAGUUUCUGUAGAUUUGGUGUCAUCGUCCAUCCAACACAUUCUCAUCCCGAGGUGUCACAUAUUGACGUUGAUUAAGGACCUCUCCGCGUCACUUUUUGAUGUUUUUACCGUCCCCAACUCGUUGAUCUUUGACGUGCUGGCUGUUCGCAAAAUCAAGGGUCUGCAACUCGUGGGACGCGGUACCGGAUUCGCACUGGUCAUCGGGAUGUGUCCAGUACCGGUACUGGUUCACGUCUGGUACUGCGUCCAGUUCACCCCCCCUACCGCGACUGGUACCAGUUCGGGUUCGGUACCCCAUCUGCUUCGGUGUCAUUUUAGGGUAACAGGUUUGGGUACUGGU